GCCCUGGUGGUGAAACUGGUAGACACGCUAUCUUGAGGGGGUAGUGCCGAAAGGCAUACCGGUUCGAGUCCGGUCCAGGGCA
Molecule: transfer RNA, 82 nt
Filed under: Gemmatimonadales bacterium
Lineage: Bacteria; Pseudomonadati; Gemmatimonadota; Gemmatimonadia; Gemmatimonadales
Description: tRNA-Leu
Source: RNAcentral